Molecule: non-coding RNA, 2616 nt
Organism: Momordica charantia (bitter melon)
Lineage: Eukaryota; Viridiplantae; Streptophyta; Magnoliopsida; Cucurbitales; Cucurbitaceae
Source: RefSeq, a predicted model, not a curated record
GCAGUGUUGGCGGUAGAUCCAACGGCAGUGAAUGAGAGAUGCAUGCGUAUUGCGUCCACUGAAAACAGUUCACCGUCUUGCAAUUUCCAAGUUUUCAGCAGCCUCCACGUCUUUCUAAUCCCACACUCCUCGCGAUGAAUCCAAGCAUUAAUCAAUAAUCGCGCCACAAACAAGUAUUUCCCCAAACCAAAACAAACUCUGAUUUUGAUCUUCACUCUACACAUUUUUACCAAACAAGCAGCAAAACAUAACCAAUUUUUUGAACCCCAGUGGAAGAUUUUCAGCUUUUGUCGCUGAAAUCCCCCAUCCCAUCGUCCAAUCAAGCUGUUACUCUAAUGCUGCCUCUGCAAAUUCACUGCUUUUCUCCGUGAAGUUCGACCCAUAAACCCCCUUCCCUUCCUGCUCGAUUCGGGGUUUUUGUAGCUUCGUUUGUUCUCGUUUACUUGAUAAAAAUGGCUACUAUUUCAACUUACCACCCAAAUUUUGUGUUCUCUCGUUUUCCGGACCGUGUUCCGACCCCGAAUCCUCUCUUUUGUGGAGUCCAAUUCCGGGGUUUAUCCCACCAUAAGCCUUUCCUUCGCGGCUCCCUUGCGGUGGCAAGAUUCGGGUUUAAACCCGAGUUCUUGCCUGACCCGGAUAACGCCGAGGGCUUUGUGAGGGAGUUGUUCGGCAAAGCCGAGACCGUUCUUUACACGAUUGCGGACGCCGCCGUGUCUGCUUCGCCGGAGAAUGUAACCACCGCCAAGCAGACUGAAGAUUGGUUUACGGGGAUUACCAAUUAUAUGGAGACCGUCCUUAAAAUUCUCAAGGAUGGACUUUCUGGUCUACAUGUUCCUUAUGCCUAUGGUUUUGCCAUUAUACUCCUUACUGUUCUUGUUAAAGCUGCCACUUUUCCUUUGACGAAGAAACAGGUCGAAUCAGCAAUGGCGAUGCGUUCUUUACAACCGCAAGUAAAGCUUGUUCAACAACGCUAUGCUGGGGAUCAGGAGAGGAUUCAACUUGAAACUGCUCGACUUUACAAAACAGCUGGCAUAAACCCACUGGCAGGAUGCCUACCCACAUUGGCCACAAUUCCUGUAUGGAUUGGACUAUACAGAGCUCUAUCUAAUGUGGCCAACGAGGGUCUCCUUACGGAAGGUUUUUUCUGGAUACCAUCUCUAGCUGGUCCAACUACGAUUGCUUCUCGACAAAAUGGCAGCGGUAUCUCUUGGCUCUUUCCAUUUGUUGAUGGUCAUCCACCCCUUGGGUGGUCAGAUACCUUGGCGUAUCUCGUCUUGCCUGUGUUGCUGGUUGUCUCGCAGUACAUCUCUGUUCAAAUUAUGCAAUCGUCACAGCCACAGAGCAAUGAUCCAAGUAUGAAGAGUUCUCAAGCCAUAACAAAGUUCCUACCGUUAAUGAUUGGAUAUUUUGCACUUUCAGUUCCUUCUGGUUUAAGUCUUUAUUGGUUCACCAAUAAUAUCUUGAGCACAGCUCAGCAAGUAUGGCUUCAAAAGUUAGGCGGCGCAAAAUUCCCAGACAAACAGUUCAGCGAUGAAAUCUUCAAAGUAGAACAACAAGUCCAGAGCAAGGAUCCUGAGUUAAACUCAGUCUCAAGGAGCACAGUAGCCCAACAAGCAGAGAAGCUGACAGCAGAAGGGCUAAAACCUGGUGAAAGGUUUAAACGGAUAAAGGAGCAAGAGGCUAGGUUAAGGCAGCAAAGAGAAGAAGAAGGAAGGAAAGCUGAAGAGGCAGCCAAGCUAGAAUCUCAGACAAUAAAUGACAGUGACAAGAGCGAAGAACUCCAGUCAGAAUCUAGUAGCAAAUCUACGACUGUCGUAGUUGUUGCCAAUGGCGGUGUUUCUAGACAAGACGUUAAGGAAGAUCAGAACUCCACAUCCAUGGCUACUAUGCAAAGAAAUGAUGUCGAUGACGAGGUUGCCAGUAUAAGCCAGCAGGUGCAAACUCAGGAAGAGAAAUGGUUGAGACAUACACCAAGGAUGCCAAAUGAAAUGGAGAAGACCGAAGAGAGUAACUCGUCGUAAAUGGAAGAUAGAGAUAGUGUUUUGAUUAUACAAGCCAGCAGGGUGGUACAGAUGGUUGAUAUGGCACGAAAGCCAAUUGUUUAGCAUAACUCGAUGCCGUAAAGAAUCCCAUUGGAGGUAUUACAAAAACCACUGAAGUUUAACUUAUUUUUCACGAUGGCUACUUCGGUUUCCAGAGUUUAGUCAUCCAUAAUAGAUUAAGAAUGAGGAGCUAUAAGAGACUUUAGAACUCUAUCUUGUAAGCUGGACAACCUUGCAGACUAUUCAAGAUCACCAUAGUAGUUCAUUUUCAGGUUGCUAUAGGAUGGAUUACUGUGCGAAGUCGUUACUACGAGUAAUGACUUCCUCUUUCAUUACUUCAUCUUUUCCCGCCCCUAUCCCUAUCCUCAGAAGUUCUCGAUCACUUAGCUCUUCUGUGUUUUCUUGAAGUGUAAAAUUUGAUCGAGCUUUGGAAGAUACAGAUCGAUCGAACAAAUCAUCGAAGUACUAAUGAUCUUUUCAAAGUCCAUGUAACUUUUUGUGCAUUCUAUCAAACAAUUGGUAGCCUUCAUCUGUGGUAUAUAGUAAAUAUUUACAUAUCAUUGUAAUUUUAAAA